Molecule: ribosomal RNA, 393 nt
Filed under: uncultured bacterium
Lineage: Bacteria
Description: partial 16S ribosomal RNA
Rfam family: Bacterial small subunit ribosomal RNA
Source: RNAcentral
AUACGGAGGAUGCGAGCGUUAUCCGGAUUUAUUGGGUUUAAAGGGUGCGUAGGCUGUGCGUUAAGUCAGGGGUGAAAUGCCGUCGCUCAACGACGGGGCUGCCCUUGAUACUGGCGUGCUGGAGUACGGAUGCCGUUGGAGGAAUGAGUGGUGUAGCGGUGAAAUGCUUAGAUAUCACUCAGAACACCGAUUGCGAAGGCAUCUGACGAAUCCGUCACUGACGCUGAGGCACGAAAGCGUGGGGAUAGAACAGGAUUAGAUACCCUGGUAUUCCACGCCGUAAACGAUGAUGACUAACCGUCGGCGAUAGACAGCCGGUGGCCAAGCGAAAGCGAUAAGUCAUCCACCUGGGGAGUACGUCGGCAACGAUGAAACUCAAAUGAAUUGACGGGG